AACGAACGCUGGCGGCAGGCUUAACACAUGCAAGUCGAACGGUUGUAGCAAUACAGCAGUGGCAGACGGGUGAGUAACACGUGGGAACCUUCCUAGGGGUACGGAACAACUCAGGGAAACUUGAGCUAAUACCGUAUACGUCCGUGAGGAGAAAGAUUCAUCGCCCUUAGACGGGCCCGCGUCGGAUUAGCUAGUUGGUGGGGUAACGGCCUACCAAGGCGACGAUCCGUAGCUGAUCUUAGAGGAUGAUCAGCCACACUGGGACUGAGACACGGCCCAGACUCCUACGGGGAGGCAGCAGUGGGGAAUCUUGGACAAUGGGCGCAAGCCUGAUCCAGCCAUGCCGCGUGAGUGAAGAAGGUCUUCGGAUUGUAAAGCUCUUUUGCCAGGGACGAUAAUGACGGUACCUGGAGAAUAAGCCCCGGCAAACUUCGUGCCAGCAGCCGCGGUAAU
This 453-nucleotide ribosomal RNA is filed under the name uncultured bacterium. RNAcentral's name for it is "bacterial SSU rRNA". It matches the Rfam family "Bacterial small subunit ribosomal RNA", at positions 29 to 524 of the family's 1533-position model. The record is from RNAcentral.